UACGUAGGGCGCAAGCGUUGUCCGGAAUUAUUGGGCGUAAAGAGCUCGUAGGCGGUCUGUUGCGUCCGCUGUGAAAACCCAGGGCUUAACCCUGGGCUGGCAGUGGAUACGGGCAGACUAGAGGUAGGUAGGGGAGAAUGGAAUUCCCGGUGUAGCGGUGAAAUGCGCAGAUAUCGGGAGGAACACCGGUGGCGAAGGCGGUUCUCUGGGCCUUACCUGACGCUGAGGAGCGAAAGCGUGGGGAGCGAACAGG
This 253-nucleotide ribosomal RNA is filed under the name uncultured bacterium. RNAcentral's name for it is "partial 16S ribosomal RNA". It matches the Rfam family "Bacterial small subunit ribosomal RNA", at positions 524 to 776 of the family's 1533-position model. The record is from RNAcentral.